RNAcentral lists this transfer RNA (72 nucleotides) under Myxococcus fulvus. RNAcentral's name for it is "tRNA-Gly". It matches the Rfam family "tRNA". Rfam says of the family: Transfer RNA (tRNA) molecules are approximately 80 nucleotides in length. Their secondary structure includes four short double-helical elements and three loops (D, anti-codon, and T loops). Further hydrogen bonds mediate the characteristic L-shaped molecular structure. tRNAs have two regions of fundamental functional importance: the anti-codon, which is responsible for specific mRNA codon recognition, and the 3' end, to which the tRNAs corresponding amino acid is attached (by aminoacyl-tRNA synthetases). tRNAs cope with the degeneracy of the genetic code in two manners: having more than one tRNA (with a specific anti-codon) for a particular amino acid; and 'wobble' base-pairing, i.e. permitting non-standard base-pairing at the 3rd anti-codon position. RNAcentral also lists the same sequence under 5 other names. The record is from RNAcentral. Lineage: Bacteria; Pseudomonadati; Myxococcota; Myxococcia; Myxococcales; Myxococcaceae.
GCAGCCUUGGCCGAGGGGAAAGGCACCUGAGAGCCACUCAGGACCGCGCGGGUUCGACUCCCGCAGGCUGCU